RNAcentral lists this ribosomal RNA (462 nucleotides) under uncultured bacterium. RNAcentral's name for it is "partial 16S ribosomal RNA". It matches the Rfam family "Bacterial small subunit ribosomal RNA", at positions 28 to 507 of the family's 1533-position model. The record is from RNAcentral.
GACGAACGCUGGCGGCGUGCUUAACACGUGCAAGUCGAACGGAAAGGCCCUUCGGGGUCCUCGAGUGGCGAACGGGUGAGUAACACGUGGGUGAUCUGCCCUGCACUUUGGGAUAAGCCUGGGAAACUGGGUCUAAUACCGAAUAGGACCACGCGCUUCAUGGUGUGUGGUGGAAAGCUUUUGCGGUGUGGGAUGGGCCCGCGGCCUAUCAGCUUGUUGGUGGGGUAAUGGCCUACCAAGGCGACGACGGGUAGCCGGCCUGAGAGGGUGACCGGCCACACUGGGACUGAGAUACGGCCCAGACUCCUACGGGAGGCAGCAGUGGGGAAUAUUGCACAAUGGGCGCAAGCCUGAUGCAGCGACGCCGCGUGAGGGAUGACGGCCUUCGGGUUGUAAACCUCUUUCAAUAGGGACGAAGCGCAAGUGACGGUACCUAUAGAAGAAGCACCGGCCAACUACGUG